AGGACGAACGCCGGCGGCGUGCUUAACACAUGCAAGUCGAGCGGUGAUCCUCCUUCGGGAGGUGAUCAGCGGCGAACGGGUGAGUAACACGUGGGCAACCUGCCCCUCACACUGGGAUAACCUCGGGAAACCGGGGCUAAUACCGGAUACGACCUCGAGCGGCAUCUCUUGAGGUGGAAAGCUCCGACGGUGAGGGAUGGGCCCGCGGCCUAUCAGCUUGUUGGUGGGGUAAUGGCCUACCAAGGCGACGACGGGUA
This 257-nucleotide ribosomal RNA is filed under the name uncultured bacterium. RNAcentral's name for it is "partial small subunit ribosomal RNA". It matches the Rfam family "Bacterial small subunit ribosomal RNA", at positions 26 to 285 of the family's 1533-position model. The record is from RNAcentral.